GAUGAACGCUGGCGGCGUGCCUAAUACAUGCAAGUCGAGCGAACGGACGAGAAGCUUGCUUCUCUGAUGUUAGCGGCGGACGGGUGAGUAACACGUGGAUAACCUACCUAUAAGACUGGGAUAACUUCGGGAAACCGGAGCUAAUACCGGAUAAUAUUUUGAACCGCAUGGUUCAAAAGUGAAAGACGGUCUUGCUGUCACUUAUAGAUGGAUCCGCGCUGCAUUAGCUAGUUGGUAAGGUAACGGCUUACCAAGGCAACGAUGCAUAGCCGACCUGAGAGGGAGAGCGGACAGCUGGUGAGAGAGCAGGGGCACGCACACCGCGGGGGAGCAGCGGCAGGGAAUCUUACGCGAGGGACAAGAGCCUGACAGUGUAACACGGGGGGAGUGAUGAUAGUGUUAGGACCGGAAAAUGCUGUUGUCAGGAAAGAAGAAAUGCGAAAGUAACUGUGCAGAUCUUGACGGUACCGAAACAAAAAGCCACGGCUAACUCCGUG
This 497-nucleotide ribosomal RNA is filed under the name uncultured bacterium. Its description in RNAcentral is "partial 16S ribosomal RNA". It matches the Rfam family "Bacterial small subunit ribosomal RNA", at positions 28 to 507 of the family's 1533-position model. The record is from RNAcentral.